Molecule: ribosomal RNA, 460 nt
Filed under: uncultured bacterium
Lineage: Bacteria
Description: bacterial SSU rRNA
Rfam family: Bacterial small subunit ribosomal RNA
Source: RNAcentral
ACGCUGGCGGCGUGCUUAACACAUGCAAGUCGAACGGUGAAGGGGAGCUUGCUCCCCGGAUCAGUGGCGAACGGGUGAGUAACACGUGGGCAACCUGCCCCAGACUUCGGGAUAACGCUUCGAAAGAGGUGCUAAUACCGGAUACGAACUCCUUGGGCAUCCCGGGAGUUGGAAAGUUUUUUCGGUCUGGGAUGGGCCCGCGGCCUAUCAGCUUGUUGGUGAGGUAACGGCUCACCAAGGCGACGACGGGUAGCCGGCCUGGGAGGGCGACCGGCCACACUGGGACUGAGACACGGCCCAGACUCCUACGGGAGGCAGCAGUGGGAAUAUUGCGCAAUGGGCGAAAGCCUGACGCAGCAACGCCGCGUGAGGGAUGACGGCCUUCGGGUUGUAAACCUCUUUCAGCAGGGAAGAAGCGAAAGUGACGGUACCUGCAGAAGAAGCACCGGCUAACUACGUG